CUCUCUUCUCAUCACCAUCGAACUCCAUCUCUUCACCUUCGGCUUGCUCUUCCUCUCACAGGUGGCUGAACUGGUGCGUCUAGGCAGCUAGAAGUGGCUCACUAGGAUCUGUUCUCCCUUUGCUGUCAUCUUUUGCUUAUCCAUCCAGAACAGAGCUUGCUUCCUUCACCAAUCUCGACCACGUGCUGAUCUUGAAUUGUCAUUGAUGUACUGUAGUUUGAGGUCCAAGCGAAGGAUCCAAUAGUAGAUGGGAAAAAGAGCCAAACUAGGAGUUUGCUUGUGAUUUAUAAAGAACAACAUCCCCUUUUCUUUUGAGCAAGUAUAUUGUAAUGUAUUUAGGAUUAGGGUGCUAGUAGAAUG
Prosopis cineraria is the source of this 360-nucleotide long non-coding RNA. RefSeq lists it as uncharacterized. The transcript has 3 exons. The record is from RefSeq and is a predicted model, not a curated record. Lineage: Eukaryota; Viridiplantae; Streptophyta; Magnoliopsida; Fabales; Fabaceae.